This 3942-nucleotide ribosomal RNA is filed under the name Triticum aestivum (bread wheat). RNAcentral describes it as "partial small subunit ribosomal RNA". Lineage: Eukaryota; Viridiplantae; Streptophyta; Magnoliopsida; Poales; Poaceae. The record is from RNAcentral.
AUGAGUACCGUUGACCCCUUGCUCCUGUCAUCAUCCGGAAGUGCAGACUCGCCUUCAAAGCAUACGGCUCCUGCUCGGCCAUCGGUGGGCUCAUUGAACUGCCUCUGCCGUGCUGAUUCAUGCUCUUCCUCAGUGUAUGAGGAUUGCGACACUGCUUCUGUUAAUUUUGCGGAUGAAGGGGAUGCCAUACCAAGGCAUUGUCCGGAGGAGUCUGAUGUGAGCAGGGUGGCAGAGCGUUUCCAGUCUGCUGAUUCGCAUUUCUUCCAUCGUCUCUCGGUGGAAUGCUCUCAGAAGGAGAGGCAGCGGAAGAUUUCUUGGGGUGGUGUAAUGGAGAUGCAGCGCUCUCCAUCAUCCCUAGAGGUCGGAGUAGUAUCUUCCUCCAAGGAGAAACCAAAUCGACCCCCGAGGGGCAGGAACAAGAGCUCGCAUUUUGAAGACCUGUUUUCAUCUGAGCAAGAGCAUGACCCAAGGCUAAUUCACAUCAAUGAUCCCGUCAGAACAAACGACCGAUAUGAAUUUACAGGAAAUGAGAUUCGGACAAGCAAGUAUACUUUGAUUACUUUCCUGCCUAAGAACCUCUUCAUCCAGUUCCAUCGGCUGGCUUAUGUAUACUUCCUAGUUAUUGCUGCUCUUAACCAGCUACCUCCUUUAGCUGUGUUUGGAAGGACCGCUUCAUUGUUCCCGCUACUUUUUGUGUUGUUUGUGACUGCUAUAAAAGAUGGUUAUGAAGACUGGCGUCGUCACAGAUCUGACAGGAAUGAAAAUAACCGAGAGGCACUUGUUCUUCAACAUGGUGAUUUUCGGUCGAAAAAAUGGAAACACAUUUGUGCGGGGGAGGUUGUCAAAAUUCAUUCCAAUGAAACAAUGCCAUGUGAUAUGGUCCUGCUGGGUACAAGUGAUCCAAAUGGUAUAGCUUACAUCCAAACAAUGAAUUUGGAUGGCGAGUCAAACCUGAAAACAAGGUAUGCUCGCCAGGAAACUGUUACCAUGAUAAGCCACAGCUCAUAUUUGGGGUUGAUCAAAUGUGAGCAGCCUAACAGAAAUAUCUAUGAGUUUACAGCUACCAUGGAGCUGAAUAAUCAGAGGAUUCCGCUUGGCCAAUCUAACAUUGUAUUGCGUGGGUGCCAGCUCAAAAACACAGAAUGGAUUAUCGGGGUCGUUGUCUAUGCUGGCCAGGAGACAAAAGCUAUGUUAAACAGUACAAUAUCCCGUUCAAAGAGCAGCAAUCUGGAGAGUUACAUGAACAGGGAAACCCUUUGGUUAUCAGCUUUCCUCUUGAUCACAUGCUCAGUUGUUGCUACAGGGAUGGGUGUAUGGUUAUUUAAAAAUACUAAAAACCUUGACGCACUACCAUACUACAGGAGAAAGUACUUCACCUUUGGCCGGGAAAACAGAAAGGAUUUUGAGUUCUAUGGCCUUGCAUUGGAGAUAUUUUUCUCCUUCUUGAGUUCUGUGAUUAUCUUUCAGAUAAUGAUACCAAUAUCAUUAUACAUCACCAUGGAGCUAGUUAGAGUGGGGCAGUCAUACUUCAUGAUUGGAGAUACUCGGAUGUAUGACAGUAGUUCAGGUUCAAGAUUUCAGUGCCGAUCAUUGAAUAUCAAUGAAGACCUAGGCCAAAUACGGUAUAUAUUUUCUGACAAAACAGGUACCUUGACUCAAAAUAAGAUGGAAUUUCAGCAAGCCAGCAUCUAUGGGAGGAAUUAUGGGAGCUCCUUGCAGGUCACUAGUGACUCAUCACAUGAAAUAACCAUUGCAGAGUCAUCGAGCCAACAUGACAGGAAGCCCAAGUCAGAAAUCAAUGUUGAUGCACUACUCUUGGCACUUCUGAAACAACCAUUGUUUGGGGAGGAAAGACUCGCAGCCCAUGAUUUUUUCCUUACUUUGGCUGCAUGCAAUACUGUCAUUCCAGUUAGCACAGGAGGUUCUCCCGAUUUGACCAAUGAAGUAAGUGAGGUUGGUGCAAUUGAUUACCAGGGGGAAUCACCUGAUGAGCAGGCCUUAGUAAUUGCAGCUUCUGCUUACGGAUACAAGCUUGUUGAAAGAACAACUGGCCACAUUGUUAUAGAUGUUCAGGGCGAGAGGAUAAGGUUGGAUGUUCUUGGUCUGCAUGAAUUUGAUAGUGUGAGAAAAAGAAUGUCUGUUGUUGUAAGAUUUCCAGACGACACUGUGAAAGUUCUUGUCAAGGGUGCUGAUACUUCAAUGCUUAGUAUUUUGAGGACCAGGAACCAUGAUGGACUUUUCGAUUCUUUGCACGCCAAAACUAUAGAAACUACAGAAAAUCAUUUGUCAAGUUAUUCCUCAGAGGGUCUACGAACCUUAGUAAUUGGUUCGAAGUACCUGAGCAAUGAAGAAUUCAGUGAAUGGCAGGAAAGGUAUGAAGAAGCUAGCACCUCCAUGACAGAGAGAUCGGCAAAGCUCCGUCAGGCGGCAGCGCUUGUAGAGUGCGAUUUGACUCUUCUGGGUGCAACUGGAAUUGAAGAUAAGUUGCAGGAUGGUGUGCCUGAGGCCAUUGAGUCCCUCCGUCAGGCUGGAAUCAAGGUCUGGGUUCUCACAGGGGAUAAGCAAGAAACUGCUAUAUCGAUUGGUUUAUCAUGUCGAUUAUUAACUCAAGGUAUGCAUUCGAUUAUCAUAAAUGGUUCCUCCGAGAUUGAAUGCAGGAGCCUUCUAGCUGACGCUAAAGCCAAAUUUGGAAUCAAGUCGGCUGACCUUGGAAAGCAAGAUGUGGAAGAUCUGCACAACGGCGAUGUUUCAAAAUUAAGGUCCUCUAAUGGUCAAGCAUCUGAAAGUGGAAUACAAAACUUCCAGUUGACUGGAGUUAUUGCUAAUGACAAGUCAGUAAACAUUGAGGAAUCACCAAAUUUUGAUGAUGCUGAGUUAGCACUGAUAAUUGAUGGGAAUUCCCUUGUGUAUAUUCUAGAGAAAGAUCUUGAAUCAGAGUUAUUUGACUUGGCAACCUCCUGUAAAGUUGUCAUCUGCUGCCGUGUUGCUCCUCUGCAAAAGGCUGGAAUUGUCGAUCUGAUUAAAAGCAGGACGAGUGACAUGACCUUGGCAAUCGGUGAUGGGGCAAAUGAUGUUUCAAUGAUACAGAUGGCUGAUGUUGGUGUUGGUAUAUGUGGUCAAGAAGGUCGUCAAGCAGUGAUGGCUUCAGAUUUUGCUAUGGGGCAGUUCCGCUUUUUGAAGAGAUUGCUUCUUGUACAUGGGCACUGGAAUUAUCAGCGUAUGGCAUACAUGAUUCUCUACAACUUCUAUCGGAAUGCUGUCUUUGUGUUAAUGCUCUUCUGGUAUAUCUUGCACACUGCAUAUUCCGCAACUCUUGCGCUAACAGAUUGGAGUAGUGUUUUCUAUUCCCUUAUCUACACAUCAGUUCCCACAGUAGUGGUUGGUAUUCUAGACAAGGACUUGAGUCACAAUACUCUUCUUUAUUAUCCUAGACUAUAUGAGGCAGGGCUUCGAAAUGAGGGCUACAAUAUGACACUCUUCUGGAUCACAAUGCUAGAUACCUUGUGGCAAAGCCUUGUCCUUUUCUAUGUACCUUUCUUCACAUACAAUAUCAGUACAAUGGACAUAUGGAGUAUGGGAAGUUUAUGGACAAUUGCGGUGGUUAUACUGGUCAAUAUUCAUCUGGCCAUGGACAUUCAACGUUGGGUGCUUAUAACCCAUCUCGCCAUAUGGGGCUCUAUAGCUGCAACGUUUUUGUGCAUGGUGUUAAUAGAUUCUAUACCUAUAUUCCCUAAUUACGGGACACUAUACAAUAUGGCUGCUUCAAGAACUUACUGGCUUAGUGUUUGCCUUAUAAUAGUCUUGGGGUUGCUUCCUCGGUUUCUUUGCAAAGUAAUAUAUGAGACCUUCUGGCCAUCUGAUAUUCAAAUAGCAAGAGAAGCUGAGUUGUUAAAGAAGCUGCCUCAACAGUUGCGAUCAAGGCCUGAAAGUGAUAUCAGCUAA